UGCCAGAUAUAGUAUGCACCUAAAGUAAAAUAAAUAAAUUUUAAAAAAAGGAUACUCUUUCCAUUUCAGCCACAUGCAACAAAGAGACUAAAGAAUCCAAUCAAUGGAUGGAUGUGUUUAACUUUUCGAUCGUUUUGGAAGUCCAAUUGCCAGAGACUAAUGGUUAUAUAGACUCCUUUUAUGUUGACUUUAUUUAUCAUUUUAGACUUCUGGAAAAAAGGCAAGAUUGGACAAGUUAUUUGACCUCUCUGGAUCUCAGUUUCCUCAUUCUAAAACUUGAGACUUGGAUUACAAAACCUCCAUGAUUCUGAAUAUGGAUGAAAUAUGUAUUUCAGCUACAGAGAUAGGGAAAGAAUUUUAAAUCCUAAUACAGAAGCAGCUACUUACUCUGCCCACAUAUAAAACUAGAUCUGCCUUCAGGAAAUGGAAAAUCUAAUUCCUAGCCUCUUUGUUAAGUUGCAAAGUCACGCUUGAUUAGAAAUGUACUCUCCAGCAGCACAUUGUUGGGCCCUUAGAAUUCAUGCGAUAUUUUAGGUGGCCACAGCUCUCCACAAGUUUGCAGCCUACACCUAAUUAGUUUGGUUUAUAAUUGAACAAAAGUACACAGAUUCAGAGAAAAUAUAUUUUGACAUCAAUUAUAAAUUUCAGGGGGACAUUUUAUUUUGGGGCAAAAUAUUGGCAAUUGCUUCUAUUCUCUACUUUGCGAAUUCAGAAAAUCAUAAAAUAAAACUAUCCUCAGACCAGAUACUGGUUUUAUUAUGGCAUACCAAAAAACAAAUAGGAGAUGAAAAUUAACACAAAAUUUGAAAGAAAUAUCAAUUUAUAAAUCAACAAGAGGCUAUAAAGUAAUGCAGUAUUUUUUAAAGCUACUUUACUCUCUGCCUAUGCCAAGAGCUCAAAUCAUGGUUGGCUCCAAGUACUAACUAUAUUUCACUACCAUAUAUCUCCCUCUUGGGGUUUUUUAAGUGAUUUGCAGACUGAAAAAUGUCAGGGACAACUGCCUUUGAGUCUUCCAUAGUACAGCAGUCAGAGUGGGAACUGAGAAACUGCAAGCCAACAGCCUCAAGGACUGUGUCUUCAAGAUACUGCAUGGUCUUUUCUAAAGACUAAUUAUUGUUUUACACACCUCUAGGCUCUUUCCCUGAACCCUAUGUAAGGAGAACCUAUUAAAUUUUAUGCCUUGGGAUUUCUGAACAACUUGUGAACUCUGCCAUUAAACCAAAUUUUCUUUUCUUUGCCUGUUUUUGUCCUACUUUCUGCUUCUUUCCAGGUAAGGCAUUCACUUUUAAGUAAGUGAAGAUAAAGCUGUUCUUUCCAACAGGGUAUUAAUAAAGUAGACUUAUGUAACAUUUUAGCAUUUGCUCCAUAUUCUUUAUUUACUAUCUUUUCUUGCUGAUUUUCUCAUACUCGAGUCUAAUGUUUUCAGUUAUUUCACUGCAAUAACACUGCAAAAGCAAAGCCAAGUAGCAAACUAGAAAGCUACAACACAG
RNAcentral lists this long non-coding RNA (1490 nucleotides) under Callithrix jacchus (white-tufted-ear marmoset). RNAcentral's name for it is "lncRNA (ENSCJAG00000062035.2)". Lineage: Eukaryota; Metazoa; Chordata; Mammalia; Primates; Cebidae. The record is from RNAcentral.